UGCCAGCAGCCGCGGUAAUACGGAGGAUGCAGGCGUUAUCCGGAAUCACUGGGUUUAAAGGGUGCGUAGGCGGCGUUGUAAGUCAGAGGUGAAAGCCCACCGCUCAACGGUGGAACUGCCUUUGAUACUGUAAUGCUUGAAUCAGGCUGAGGUCAGCGGAAUGUGUCAUGUAGCGGUGAAAUGCAUAGAUAUGACAUAGAACACCAAUUGCGAAGGCAGCUGACUAGACCUUUAUUGACACUGAGGCACGAAAGCGUGGGGAGCGAACAGGAUUAGAUA
RNAcentral lists this ribosomal RNA (279 nucleotides) under uncultured bacterium. RNAcentral's name for it is "partial 16S ribosomal RNA". It matches the Rfam family "Bacterial small subunit ribosomal RNA", at positions 506 to 784 of the family's 1533-position model. The record is from RNAcentral.